RNAcentral lists this long non-coding RNA (684 nucleotides) under Nicotiana benthamiana. Its description in RNAcentral is "long non-coding RNA (NBEN_LNC008277)". The record is from RNAcentral. Lineage: Eukaryota; Viridiplantae; Streptophyta; Magnoliopsida; Solanales; Solanaceae.
AGUCCAGAAGCAGAAGAGAAGGAUAAGAAUGCAGCCUGUAACAGUUGGAUAGAUGUAAUAUCAGCUCUACAGAAUAGCAACAAGUCAUCAGCAAAGCACAUGUGAGAGCAUUUGAGCUUCCUGCAUCUUGGAUGGAAAUUAAAAUUGUCAAAUGGUAUUAUUCUUAGUAUAUUACACAUUUAUACCAUAAUUUCUGCUGAAUGAUGAUAAUCUCAUAAUUUUGAAAAGUCAUAUACAAAUAUAAAAAAAAAAUAAUAAUAAUAAUAAUAACAACAACACGGUAACUCUCGAUAAUUAUAAUUGAUUACCGAUUUUGUAAAAAGUAUAUCAAUAUUAAUAUUUAGGAAUGCCUUAUUUCUCUAAAAAGAAUAAAAAUAAAAAUAAAAGUUGAAAAAAUGGUAAAGUAUAUGGGAUAGUAGAGAGAUAUAUUUAGCACUUUCCAACAAUCAAAACUAUGAGAGAAGGCCAAAAAAGACGCCCAAAUUUCAGUGUGCAGUGUAAUAAUACUGUAGGGAAGCUAAUACGACUUUUUCAGGAGGAGUAAAUUGGAAAAGAACCUUGAUGUGCUUUGGACUAUCACCACCCUUUCCUUCAACAAUUAAGAUUAUGAGAUCAAAUCUUUUUCCUUGCACAAAUCCAUCACUGUGAGCUCCCUCUGUAUGCACAGAAUUAACAAGAACAAAG